GGGGGGCGCCUUUGCCCCCCGGGCCCGUGCCCGCCGGAGACCCCAACACGAACACUGUCUGAAAGCGUGCAGUCUGAGUUGAUUGAAUGCAAUCAGUUAAAACUUUCAACAAUGGAUCUCUUGGUUCCGGCAUCGAU
RNAcentral lists this unclassified non-coding RNA (137 nucleotides) under Aspergillus niger. RNAcentral describes it as "sequence contains ITS1". Lineage: Eukaryota; Fungi; Ascomycota; Eurotiomycetes; Eurotiales; Aspergillaceae. The record is from RNAcentral.